UUAUUCCCGCCUGCCCUGUGAUCUAUAUGUUUAACGGCCGCGUGUAUUUUGACCGUGCGAAGGUAGCGCAAUCACUUGUCUUUUAAAUGGGGGCCUGUAUGAAUGGCAUAACGAGGGCUUGACUGUCUCCUCUUUCAAGUCAAUGAAAUUGAUCUCCCCGUGCAGAAGCGGGGWUWAAUACAUAAGRCGAGAAGACCCUGUGGAGCUUUAGRCACUAAAGCAGAUCAUCAUUAACRCCCCCGACAACAGGGCACAAGCUAACCGAACCCUGCCCUAAUGUCUUUGGUUGGGGCGRCCGCGGAGAAAUAAAAACCCCCCGCAAGGACCGAAUGUAUAACAUUCACAACCAAGAGCGACAGCUCUAAUUAACAGARCUUUUGACCAAUAAGAUCCGGCAAUGCCGAUCAAUGAACCGAGUUUCCCCAGGGAUACAGCGCAAUCCCCUCUUAGAGUCCAUAUCGGACGAGGAGGUUUACGACCUCGAUGUUGGAUCAGGACAUCCUAAUGGUCAGCCGCUAUUAAGGAUUCGU
This 530-nucleotide ribosomal RNA is filed under the name Hyporthodus exsul (tenspine grouper). RNAcentral's name for it is "partial 16S ribosomal RNA". It matches the Rfam family "Bacterial large subunit ribosomal RNA", at positions 1849 to 2576 of the family's 2925-position model. Lineage: Eukaryota; Metazoa; Chordata; Actinopteri; Perciformes; Serranidae. The record is from RNAcentral.